GCCCGCUUGGCGAAAUCGGCAGACGCAACGGACUUAAAAUCCGUAUCCCGACACGGGAGUGGGGGUUCGAGUCCCCCAGCGGGCACCA
Molecule: transfer RNA, 88 nt
Filed under: Rhodospirillales bacterium
Lineage: Bacteria; Pseudomonadati; Pseudomonadota; Alphaproteobacteria; Rhodospirillales
Description: tRNA-Leu
Rfam family: tRNA
About the family: Transfer RNA (tRNA) molecules are approximately 80 nucleotides in length. Their secondary structure includes four short double-helical elements and three loops (D, anti-codon, and T loops). Further hydrogen bonds mediate the characteristic L-shaped molecular structure. tRNAs have two regions of fundamental functional importance: the anti-codon, which is responsible for specific mRNA codon recognition, and the 3' end, to which the tRNAs corresponding amino acid is attached (by aminoacyl-tRNA synthetases). tRNAs cope with the degeneracy of the genetic code in two manners: having more than one tRNA (with a specific anti-codon) for a particular amino acid; and 'wobble' base-pairing, i.e. permitting non-standard base-pairing at the 3rd anti-codon position.
Source: RNAcentral